Molecule: long non-coding RNA, 1721 nt
Filed under: Anolis carolinensis (green anole)
Lineage: Eukaryota; Metazoa; Chordata; Lepidosauria; Squamata; Anolidae
Description: lncRNA (ENSACAG00000041086.1)
Source: RNAcentral
GUGGAGUCAGUAUCAUGUUCAUAAGAACACACUAACUGAAAACUUGGUACUUCAGAAUUAAAUAUAUAAUAUUGUUUUAAUCUCACUAUUGACAGCAGCUGGGUUCCCUACAUAAUACUGUAGGAUGAAACUUGUCUAGCCUUAUCUAUAAUGGAAUUGACAAAGAUCAAUCCGGGACCAUCCCAUAUCUAGUUAAGAGCUGGAGCUCUUGUGUCUUUCUUUUUCAGUAUUUUCUUCAUCACAGAUUCUGUUCAAUAAGGAUGUUUAACACAGCCAUAUGUACCUAUGCCAUAAUCUCUGGAUCCAUCGUGACAUGAGAGAGAGAACUCUGAAAUUGGUGAAGGGAUCUCAAUGGGUUCCUUCUGUCUCUCUCUGUCUCCUCAAGUUCCCUCAAAUACGAGCAGGGGAUCUUUCAAGAUGCAAAGAUGCUAUAGAUGCUGUUCCCACCAACCUUCUUGAAAUCCCAUUUUGUGAGAAUUUUUUCUUUUUUCGUGUCAGGAGCAACCGGAGUUGCUUCUGGAGUGAGAGAAUUGGCCAUCUGCAAGGACGUUGUCCAGGGGACGCCCGGAUGUUUUUGAUGUUUUUACCAUCCUUGUGGGAGGCUUCUCUCAUGUCCCCGCAUGGAGCUGGAGCUGAUAGAGGGAGCUCAUCUACACUCUCCCCAGGUGGGAUUCGAACCUGGCAGCUUUCAGGAGGACUUUAGAAAUUUCCCAGUCUUCCAGAGAUCUACUCACAGGUCCAGAUUUAUCUUCGAGCCACCUCAGUCUAAUUCAGAUGGUACUGCUUCUCCAAGAUCUAAGAUUUGAGGCAAGGAUCUUUCCCAGUCUUUCUGUCUGAGAUCUUUUUUAACUAUAGAUGCUUAAUACUUUUUGCAUACAAAAACCACAUGUAUUAUACUAUUUAAAAGGUUAAUGAUAUUUGUCCACAGAUGGAAUUGUUGCCACAGUAACUUGUCUAGUCACUGAAUCUCAUACACCUGACUCAAGAAGCAUACAACCCAUUCAACAAAUCACUUGGCAAAAUAUCUCUCUAGCCAGAAAACUAUUUGUUAAACCUUCUCUAACUUUCAUACAACAAUUUUCUGCUACAGCCUAACAUAGGAUUUCUUAACCAGAGAUUUGUAGUCAUAAUUCUGGGGGUGCGGUGGGGGGUCAUUUGUAGGUAUAAUCAUUUUGAUGAAGGGUUCCCCAAGACUUGAAAGUUAUUUAGGGUUUGGAAAGGCUGACCUAACAUCAUUUAAAAAGUUGUUGUUGCUAUAUAGUGGAGGAGCCAAAGUCUUCUCACUGAUGGUAUAAUUACUUUGGAACACAAUCUUCCGUCACUGCAAAAAAAUAAAAAAAAUCUUGAGGUCCACUGCCCUUUCCAAAUUAUAUGUUGUACCACAAAUCCACUGUCUUAAACAACAAGUGUCAAAAACAACUAGAUUUGGGAAUGAUGGGCUUCAUAUUACAACAUAUCUAGAGUAUGUUGGACCAAGUUGCCACAAAAGGGUCAUGAAAGCUGAUCUGUUCAGGAAGACUUAUUUCCUCCUAGAAUGGAAUAUAUAUAGAGAGAAAGAAUGGUAAUGGAAUCCCGGCACCGAGCAAAACAACAGAACUAAACACCCCCCCAACCUAGCAAUUUAACCACACAAUACAACAUCCAUGCCUUAAGGUUGAAACAACAAAAGAUCACGUCACGCACCUCCACACGGACAGAAAAUCACACAAACCCACAACGCA